Molecule: ribosomal RNA, 253 nt
Filed under: uncultured bacterium
Lineage: Bacteria
Description: partial 16S ribosomal RNA
Rfam family: Bacterial small subunit ribosomal RNA
Source: RNAcentral
UACGAGGGAUGCAAGCGUUAUCCGGAAUGAUUGGGCGUAAAGCGUCCGCAGGUGGCUGUGUAAGUCUGCUGUUAAAGAGUCAUGCUCAACAUGAUAAGAGCAGUGGAAACUACACGGCUAGAGUGCGUUCGGGGCAGAGGGAAUUCCUGGUGUAGCGGUGAAAUGCGUAGAGAUCAGGAAGAACACCGGUGGCGAAAGCGCUCUGCUAGGCCGCAACUGACACUGAGGGACGAAAGCUAGGGGAGCGAAUGGG